RNAcentral lists this ribosomal RNA (442 nucleotides) under uncultured bacterium. RNAcentral's name for it is "partial 16S ribosomal RNA". It matches the Rfam family "Bacterial small subunit ribosomal RNA", at positions 339 to 795 of the family's 1533-position model. The record is from RNAcentral.
CUACGGGUGGCUGCAGUGGGGGAUAUUGCACAAUGGAGGAAACUCUGACGCAGCAACGCCGCGUGAGGGAAGAAGGUUUUCGGAUUGUAAACCUCUGUUUUCGGUGAAGAAAAAAAUGACGGUAGCCGAAGAGGAAGCCACGGCUAACUACGUGCCAGCAGCCGCGGUAAUACGUAGGUGGCAAGCGUUGUCCGGAUUUACUGGGUGUAAAGGGUGCGCAGGCGGGACUGCAAGUUGGAUGUGAAAAUCUGAGGCUCAACCUCAGAACUGCAUCCAAAACUGUGGUUCUUGAGUGGAGUAGAGGUAAGCGGAAUUCCGAGUGUAGCGGUGAAAUGCGUAGAUAUUCGGAGGAACACCAGUGGUGAAGGCGGCUUACUGGGCUCUAACUGACGCUGAGGCACGAAAGCAUGGGUAGCAAACAGGAUUAGAUACCCGAGUAGUC